RNAcentral lists this ribosomal RNA (253 nucleotides) under uncultured bacterium. RNAcentral's name for it is "partial 16S ribosomal RNA". It matches the Rfam family "Bacterial small subunit ribosomal RNA", at positions 524 to 776 of the family's 1533-position model. The record is from RNAcentral.
UACGUAGGGCGCAAGCGUUGUCCGGAAUUAUUGGGCGUAAAGAGCUCGUAGGCGGUCUGUCGCGUCCGUUGUGAAAACUCGAGGCUCAACCUCGGGCUUGCAGUGGAUACGGGCAGACUAGAGUGCGGUAGGGGAGACUGGAAUUCCUGGUGUAGCGGUGGAAUGCGCAGAUAUCAGGAGGAACACCGGUGGCGAAGGCGGUUCUCUGGGCAUGAUCUGACGCUGAGGAGCGAAAGUGUGGGGAGCGAACAGG